GCCUGCAACUCUGUGUUUUUAUUUGAUUGUCGAAUCCAUUCACAUUCAAUGCUAUUAUUUAUAUAGUCGAAUUUAUGUCUGCCAUUUUACUAUUUGUUUUCUAUAUGUCUAAUAUUUUUGUUGUUCCUCUAUUCUUUCUUUUCUGCUUUAUUUUGCAUUAAGUGAAUAUUUUCUUUUUUCUGGAUGUUGUGGUGCAACUUAUAGAAAAAGUAAAGGAAACCCCAACAUGCAUGCACUGCCUUGGUGACCAGGGAAGUCACCCCAUGGCUAUGGGGAAAUUAGCCUGAGGCUUAGCUUUCGUUAUCACUGUCUCCCAGCGUGUGCUUGUCAAAGAGAUAUUCUGCCGAGCCAGAUUCGGGUGCUCCCAUCUUGCACAAGUUGGUCACGUGGCCACCCAAUUCUUUGAUGGCUUUCACCUGCUCAUUCAGGUAAUGUGUCUCAAUGAAGUCACACAAAUGGGGGUCAUUUUUGUCACUGGCCAGUUUGUGCAGUUCCAGUAGUGUGCAUUACAUUUGG
RNAcentral lists this long non-coding RNA (516 nucleotides) under Homo sapiens (human). RNAcentral describes it as "HSALNT0312512". The record is from RNAcentral. Lineage: Eukaryota; Metazoa; Chordata; Mammalia; Primates; Hominidae.